GAUGAAGAACGCAGCGAAAUGCGAUAAGUAGUGUGAAUUGCAGAAUUCAGUGAAUCAUCGAAUCUUUGAACGCACAUUGCGCCCCUUGGUAUCCCGAGGGGCAUGCCUGUUCGAGCGUCAUUUCACCACUCAAGCCUGGCUUGGUGUUGGGCGACGUCCCCUUUGGGGACGCGCCUCGAAACGCUCGGCGGCGUGGCACCGGCUUUAAGCGUAGCAGAAUCUUUCGCUUUGGAAGUCGGGGCCCCGUCUGCCGGAAGACCUACUCGCAAGGUUGACCUCGGAUCAGGCAGGGAUACCCGCUGAACUUAAGCAUAUCAAUAAGCGGCGGA
Molecule: unclassified non-coding RNA, 329 nt
Filed under: soil metagenome
Description: partial contains 5.8S ribosomal RNA, internal transcribed spacer 2, and large subunit ribosomal RNA
Rfam family: 5.8S ribosomal RNA (bases 1-120)
Source: RNAcentral